Cynara cardunculus var. scolymus (artichoke) is the source of this 1802-nucleotide RNA transcript. RefSeq lists it as uncharacterized. The record is from RefSeq and is a predicted model, not a curated record. The transcript has 5 exons. NCBI's taxonomy places the organism in Eukaryota, Viridiplantae, Streptophyta, Magnoliopsida, Asterales, Asteraceae.
AUCCUCAACAAGGUAUUCUUCCUUGUUCAUAAUUCUUGUGCAGUUGGAAACCUCCGAUCGAAACUCUCAGAACCAACUUCUCGCCUCGAAAAGAUUCUGAGGACUGUGAUUUGUGAUAAAAGACAAGUUUGGGAUCAUGAAGUAUAAAAAAGGAAGCAUAGUGGAGGUGUUGAUUACAGAUGAGGUUCCUUACCAUUCUUGGCGUUGUGCUCAGAUAGUUUCCGGCAAUGGGCACAACUACACUCUGAGAUAUGACGUGUAUCCUGGUUUUACUAACGAGGAGAAUGUAGAACGUGUAUCCAGAAAAUUUAUUAGACCAUGUCCUCCAGCGGUGGAAAUUUCAGAAUGUUGGCCUGGUGAUGUGGUGGAAGUGUUUCAUGAUCUUUCUUGGAAGAUGGCAAUUGUGUCCAAGGCUAUCCGUUGGGACUUGUUUCUGGUUAGAUUAGCUGGAUCUUUCCUAGAGUUUGAAGCAAGCAAAUCAGAACUCCGUGUGCGUCAAUCUUGGCAAAAUGAUGAAUGGGUUGUGAUUGGCAAGGUUCAUAUGAAUAGUGAAGAUGGACAGUGCAGAAAGCUUUUGAAGCAUAAUUUAAAUUCAGGCUCCCGUGAGAAGCAAAGGGACCCGAAAGGGGAUCUCUUUAUAAAAAGUUUUCAGUUUUGUGCUCAGAACGACAAUUUACAGGAAUCACACAUCGUUUCAACUAGAACCCUGAAGCGAGGGUCACCCUGCUGUGUUUCUCAAGAUGAGGUAAAUGAAGGGACUGCCCAGAAAUUUAGACUCACUCAAAAAGAGGGUAGACGUCUCCUAUUGCUAGUCACAUCACCUGAAAGGGUAGAUGCUGUUCCCAACUCUAGAGAAAUGCCGGGUGAAAAAGGAAGGUACUCUUAUUUUGACAACAGAGCAGCUCCCUCAUAUGCAGCUGAUAUGGAGAGGGAAGAUCUAAGUGGUGCAUACAGAUGUUCACGUCCUUUAUGCUUGGAACCAAAGGGUGCUGACAGUGUUGCAUCUUCCACCGGUAGUUGCGGUAUUAACAGCUAUAGGCACUAUGAUAUGGAGUGCAAAUCAGGUGGUUUUGAAGAUGUUGAAGGUCAUGACAGUGAUGCUGAAUCUGUUUGUCAAGUGGGAUAUCAAGAAGAUCUCUCUCUGUGUAAAAAGGAAUUGGCAGCAGAAAUACAUACACUAGAGUUGCAAGCAUACCGUCGUACCAUUGAGGCAUUGCAUGCAUCAGGACCCUUAAGUUGGGAAAAAGAAUCAAUGGCCCAAAGUUGGAGGCUUGUACACCUUGCUUCUCUAUUGGCAUGGUACGGUGGGGCAUAGGCAGAGUGAGAUCUGGUGCAUAACGGCUCAUGAUCAGCCUCUUGUACUGCCUAUACACUGUCACAGUGCAUUAUCCCUUUGGGCUGUCUGUAAGCUUCACAAAUAUAUAUACUUGAAGGAUGCAGGCUACCACUUGAUCCUCUGAUACAGAUGGUUCUGACUUCUGUCUUUGACAUUCAGAUUUCAAUUUUUACAUGGAAUUAACUUGCUGGUCUUUCGAUCGAAGUUUACUUAUGCAGCUUGAUGUUCAAUCUGAAGCUGUAUGCAUUUUCCCCUUUGGUGGUAAGUUUUUAGUGCAAGUACCGGAAUGUUGUCAUGGUUGCAAUUUUCUUUUCUCUUUUAGCUAAAGGGGUUCAUGAAUCCAAUCUUCGGUUUAAACCCAUCGAAAAUCUUACUAACGAUAUAAAGGGCCUGUUUGUUAGCAGCUUAAUGAGCUUAACAGGACUUGUAACUUACUCGGUCCGUUGUACAUUACUGUUUGGUGGUG